UCUAGAACUCGAGAUAUGGGCUGAACACUGAACAGUGUCUGGGCUGCAAGACAGCAGAUUCCGACUUCUCUGUUGUUGCUACAAUUUGAACUUGAAAAUGGUCCUUUUGAAUCUUGGACUCUUAUGAAAGUUUUAGGCAUAUGUCUUAGCUUUCUAUC
This 158-nucleotide microRNA precursor is filed under the name Populus trichocarpa (black cottonwood). Its description in RNAcentral is "MIR2912 microRNA precursor family". It matches the Rfam family "MIR2912 microRNA precursor family". The record is from Rfam by way of RNAcentral. Lineage: Eukaryota; Viridiplantae; Streptophyta; Magnoliopsida; Malpighiales; Salicaceae.